This 1685-nucleotide long non-coding RNA is filed under the name Marmota monax (woodchuck). The record is from RNAcentral. Lineage: Eukaryota; Metazoa; Chordata; Mammalia; Rodentia; Sciuridae.
GAGACUUUAGGUCCAUCCAUUCUGUCCAGUCUGGUCCCACCCAGGCGCCAAAGCCUUCUGUGCCCAGAUAGUGCUGUUCCCCCAGUACUCUGCCCUCUCUGCCCAGGCUUGAGCUUCUGAUCUCUACUCCAGGGCACUUGCUGAAUGGAGCUUUGUUCUCCACCGCCAGCGUGGGCGCCAUACAGCAAGGGCAGUCCCCAGGGGGCUGUACAACUUUUAUCCGAGGAUUCCAGGAUGUCAGGCUGGGGUACAGUGCAAGCCCCCUUGUUCAAUGGGCUUCUCGGAAAGCAUCUGAAGAGGGCUGGGGUGCAGCGGGAAGCAGGCUGUGUGCCCACCCUGACUAUUGUGUCUGUGCCAAGGUGAGUCACUCAGCAGGCACAAGGAGGAGACUCUGGGGGUAGCCAGCCCAGCACCGCCAGGUCUCCCACUUGCAGACAAGGCCUGGCUGCUUGCCCCAGCCCCAACUCUCAAGCCAGCUCAGGCCCCCAAGCUCCAGUAAAAGCAACACCCCCAACUCCACACCAGGGGGACAUGUUUUUCAAUUGGACAUCUGAUGAGCUGGCUACUAAGGUUUCCCUCGAUGAGUCCCAGUGCAGAGAGGGAGGUGAGAGCCCUUGGGCUCCAAUGACAUUUGCCCCUGGCCUGAGUAGUGUCAUGAUGAGGGAAAUCCUGAGGAGGGGGUCCUGGUGACCUUCGAUCCUGAUGUGGGUUGGGUGGCUGGGGAAGGACAAGGUAAAGAAAGAACAAGACAAGGCAGGAGACUUUGUCCCCAGCCUCAUCUCUGGGGUGGCCUACCCUUCCUAGCUGCCCAACAGGAAAUAGUGUGUGGUGUUGCCUUCUUUAAGGCAAAUUGAAGGGAAAAAUGGGCAAAGAGGUCCUGGAGGGAAAAGAUACAAUAAGAACAGAAGCUGCUCAUCACUGGAGCUUAGAGACUUGCUCCUGUGCAUGCAGACAUGAGUUUGUUUUAGCACCAGCACAUGGGGUCACCCAGGCUCCCCAACCUUGGCCUUCUCCUUGUGCCCUGUUAUAGCCCAGUUCCAUCCUCAACUCCCACAGGAUCCUGAGACCCCUCCCACAAUCAGCCCCAAACUCUCUCAGGAAUCUCACCAGAGACAAAAGUCAGUCAUGGUUGUUUUGCAAACUUUCAUAACCAUUAUUUUUUGUGACACAAUUAUUGUAGAAAAAUCGGAAAAUACAGAUAAGCAAUACAAAAGAAUUUAAUUAGCCAUAAUUUUACCACAUGGAGAUAGAUACCAGCUUUUUUCUACACAUAUAAACUCAAUUUUCCAAAAUAGGCUCAUGCUGCACAAAUUAUUUUGUAAUUUGCUUUUCUUACUCAACAAUAUGUUGUGAACAUCUUUCCAUAUCAAUAAAUAUUUAUCUACAUCAUCAUUUUAACAGUUGCAUGGUUUUCUACUAUCUGUGUUCAUUUAACCAAGCCCUGUUGUUAGACAGUUACGUUUGCCUUUCUCUCUCUCCUAAACUGUCCUCAUGCCCAUCUGCCCCAGACAGACAUAGCCACCGGAGCAAGGCAGCCCUCAGCCCUCCCAGCCUCUAAUGGGACACCCAUCCUCCCAGUCUGGCUUAGGGCUCAUUCUCUGAGGUGCCUCCUCUUCUGCUUCUCCAACAGGAAGGCCCCAACAUCCAAAGCCUCAGGCCAAAGCCUAAGCCGACUGGUAGAUGGA